CCUACGGGCGGCAGCAGUGAGGAAUAUUGGUCAAUGGACGAGAGUCUGAACCAGCCAAGUAGCGUGAAGGAUGACUGCCCUAUGGGUUGUAAACUUCUUUUAUAUGGGAAUAAAAUGUUCCACGUGUGGGAUUUUGUAUGUACCAUAUGAAUAAGGAUCGGCUAACUCCGUGCCAGCAGCCGCGGUAAUACGGAGGAUCCGAGCGUUAUCCGGAUUUAUUGGGUUUAAAUGGAGCGUAGGUGGAUUGUUAAGUCAGUUGUGAAAGUUUGCGGCUCAACCGUAAAAUUGCAGUUGAAACUGGCAGUCUUGAGUACAGUAGGGGUGGGCGGAAUUCGUGGUGUAGCGGUGAAAUGCUUAGAUAUCACGAAGAACUCCGAUUGCGAAGGCAGUUCACUGGACUGCAACUGACACUGAGGCUCGAAAGUGUGGGUAUCAAACAGGAUUAGAUACCCUAGUAGUC
RNAcentral lists this ribosomal RNA (460 nucleotides) under uncultured bacterium. Its description in RNAcentral is "partial 16S ribosomal RNA". It matches the Rfam family "Bacterial small subunit ribosomal RNA", at positions 338 to 795 of the family's 1533-position model. The record is from RNAcentral.